UCUGGGAAGCCGAGGCAGGAGGAUCACUUGAGCCUAGGAGUUUGAGACCAGUCUGGGUAACAAAGUGAGACCCACAUCUCUACAAA
Molecule: microRNA precursor, 86 nt
Filed under: Chlorocebus sabaeus (green monkey)
Lineage: Eukaryota; Metazoa; Chordata; Mammalia; Primates; Cercopithecidae
Description: miRNA (ENSCSAG00000025580.1)
Source: RNAcentral